Molecule: long non-coding RNA, 994 nt
Filed under: Marmota monax (woodchuck)
Lineage: Eukaryota; Metazoa; Chordata; Mammalia; Rodentia; Sciuridae
Source: RNAcentral
GUCACAGGUUCAUCUAGGUUGUGUCAUGUAUUGAUACUUUGUUCCUUUUUAUGGCAGAAUACUAUUCCCUCAUGAAUACACCACAUUUCCCUUACUCUCUCCUCAGUUGAUGGAUCUUUGGCCAUUCGACUGCCCCAGGUUAUAGAUGGGGAAACUGAGGGCCAAAGUCACCAAAACCUGGCUGGGAAAGGAGUCUGGGUCUCUCCUAACAUCCACCAUUUCCCCACAGUAUCGCUUUGGAAGAACCCAGAGAACACAGUUCAAGCUUAUCAAAAGAUCACCAAACAGCUACAGCAGCCCUGGAGCCAGAGUCUCCAGGGUUUAUCAUCUGGUACAUAAAUGCCAUACCACAGCUUUCUCCUUGAAGAGAAGAAUCCUGCCGCCCUUGCCUUUAUCCCACUGAAAUCUAGUCUCAAGUUUAGAAAUCAGUCAAUCAGUUAAAACCCAAGUAGGAGCAUGUCUCUGUUGUGCUCACAGCCCUCCAAUUCAGACUAAAAAAACCCAGAGCCUUUACCAUGGCCUUCACAGACUCAUCUGAUCCGGUGCCAGCUUCCUGUCUGACUUUAUUGCACAAGAUCCCUUCCUUGAACAGAUGAAGCAUUCUCCUACCUCAGGACCUUAGCACUGGCUGUUCCUUUGAACUGCAUUCUCCUUCAGUCACAUGUUUCAUUUUCUUUACGAAAUGAACAAACCAACCCAACUGCCAAAGAUGGCUUUCCUGACAAUUUUAUGUAAAACCAUACCUCUUGGAAACCUCUUAUGCUUUCUUUCCUAAAUGUGCUUUGUCUUCCUAGCACUAACCACCACCUGAUUAUUUGCUAACUUGUUUAUGUUCUGCCUCCUUCACUAGAACUUAAGCUCCACAGAGCAAGGAUUGAUUCUUGUCCAGGUCAUUUACCACUGCAUUUUUGUGCUGGCCAGCACGUAGUAGGUGUUCAGUAGAUUCUUACGGGAUUAAUGAUUCAAGCCUUGCAGUGAAUAAACAGUAUUCUCA